Molecule: ribosomal RNA, 494 nt
Filed under: uncultured bacterium
Lineage: Bacteria
Description: partial 16S ribosomal RNA
Rfam family: Bacterial small subunit ribosomal RNA
Source: RNAcentral
GACGAACGCUGGCGGCGUGCUUAACACAUGCAAGUCGAACGGUGAAGCGCCUUCCUUUUUGGUGGGUGUGGAUGAGUGGCGAACGGGUGAGUAACACGUGAGUAACCUGCCCCCUCCUCCGGGUUACCGGAAGAAAGGUGUGCCAAUAAGGGGAAAUCCGGGGUCGGUGGCUGGAGGGGUUGGGGAAGGUAUUGGUUUCGGGGGGGGAGGGGCUCGGGGCCUAUCAGCUUGUUGGUGGGGUGAUGGCCUACCAAGGCGGUGACGGGUAGCCGGCCUGAGAGGGUGGACGGUCACACUGGGACUGAGACACGGCCCAGACUCCUACGGGAGGCAGCAGUGGGGAAUAUUGCACAAUGGGCGCAAGCCUGAUGCAGCGACGCCGCGUGAGGGAUGGAGGCCUUCGGGUUGUGAACCUCUUUCGCCAGUGAAGCAGGCCUGCCUCGUUUGUGGGUGGGUUGACGGUAGCUGGAUAAGAAGCGCCGGCUAACUACGUG